RNAcentral lists this RNase P RNA (357 nucleotides) under Bacteroidales bacterium. RNAcentral describes it as "RNase P RNA component class A". It matches the Rfam family "Bacterial RNase P class A". From Rfam's summary of the family: Ribonuclease P (RNase P) is a ubiquitous endoribonuclease, found in archaea, bacteria and eukarya as well as chloroplasts and mitochondria. Its best characterised activity is the generation of mature 5'-ends of tRNAs by cleaving the 5'-leader elements of precursor-tRNAs. The record is from RNAcentral. Lineage: Bacteria; Pseudomonadati; Bacteroidota; Bacteroidia; Bacteroidales.
ACAGUUGGGCGGUCUGUCGCUGGUAGUUUUAACUACGAGAGGAAAGUCUGGGCAACACAGAGCAUCUUACUUUUUAAGAGAAAGUAAUCCGUGAGGGUUAAGUAGUGCAGAAGAAAAUAACCACCUACCCUGUAGGAACGGGUGAGAAGGUGAGGCAAAAGCUCACCAGUUGUAUGGCAACAUGCAAGCUGUGCACCUUAAGAGUUGUAAGAUCAUGUAAACCGACGUUAAGGAGGGUUGCUCGCCCCAUGUCGGAGGGUAGAUCGCUAGAGUAAAAUGGUGACAUUUUACGUAGAUAAAUGACAGGCAUUCUGCUUUGGCAGAUUACAGAACCCGGCUUAUAGCCCAACUGUUUUU